AGACAUUGAAUUCCAGAGACAAGAUCAAACAGAUUGAAGUUGCUUUAGAGGAGGCGCAAUCAUCACUCAGUCUAUCAACUAUCAGAAUUAACUUCUUGAAAGCGGAGUUAAUACAAGCCUACAAGGAGGAGGAGAUGUAUUGGCAACAGAGGAGUAAAGAUAAGUGGGCACCAAAAGGUGAUCUGAACACAAAGUAUUUCCAUGCCUCUGUUAAAGCAAACAGAUCCAGAAGCAGAAUCAACAAGCUGAUAGAUGAUAGAGGCCAAGAACAUUUUUCUGAAGCUGCCAAAGGGGGAGUUGCAUCGGAAUAUUUCACAAAACUGUUCUCCUCUACCAAUAAUGGAGACUUCUCGGAGAUUUUUGAAGGUUUUUCACAACGUGUAACACCUGGAAUGAAUGAAUUUUUGGAUAGAGAGGUCACUAAUGAAGAGGUCCGAGAGGCUGUUUUCUCAAUCAAGCCAAGCAGUGCUCCCGGACCUUAUGGGAUGAGAGAAUUAUUCUUUCGGAAGUAUUGGGGUACUAUUGGAGAGCAGGUCACUAAAGAGGUAAAGGAGUUUUUUACCACUAAUCAAUUCCCCGGAGAAUGGAAUUACACCCAUUUAUGUUUACUUCCGACGAUAGAAGAUCAUGUGAUCAUGGCAGACCUAAGACCCAUCAGCUUGUGUUCAGUUUUGUAUAAAAUCAUCUCGAAGAUCAUCGUGAGAAGGAUGAAGCCUCUGAUGGAAGAUAUAGUUUCUCCUACUCAGUCGGCUUUUGUGGAGGAGAGAUUAAUUUCAGACAAUAUUCUUAUUGCCCACGAGAUCAUCCAUGCCUUGAGAACAAAUGAGAGAGUAUCCAAGGAUUUCAUGGCAAUAAAAUCCGACAUGUCCAAGGCCUAUGACCGAGUGGAGUAGAACUACCUGCGUGCCUUGCUGAAAGCGUUGGGUUUUGAAGAUGUUGGAGUGAAAAGAUUAUGUUCUGUGUUUCAACGGUUAAAUACUCAACGCUCAUUUAUGACCAGCCUUUUGGAUGCAUUCAGCCAGAGCGAGGGAUCAGACAGGGAGAUCCUCUUUCUCCAUUUCUGUUUGUAAUGUGUACUGAGGGUCUGAUACACUUGCUAGAGAAAGCGGUGCAGGAAGAAAAAACCUCAAGGAAUUUAAUUCACCUCAGAAGGACCAAUGAUCCAUCAUAUGUAAUUUGCAGAUGAUAGUCUACUGAUAUGUAGAGCUUCUCAGAGCAAGCGACUGAAUUGGUGAAGAUACUCAAAAUCUAUGAGCAGGCUACGGGACAGAAGGUGAAUUUAGAGAAGUCGGCCAUCACUUUUGGCUCCAAGGUCACAGAAACUGUGAAAGCCUCAAUCCAAACGAUCAAUGAGAUUGUCAAAGAAGGUGGAACAUGAUCGUAUCUAGGCCUACCUGAAUGUUUCAGUGGCUCUAAAACAGAAAUGUUGGCUUACAUAUACGAUAGGCUCAAGUCGAGGCUCUCUGGCUGGUUUGUUAAGCAAUAGUCUCUUGGUGGAAAAGAGGUUCUGAUCAAAGCAUUGGCUAUGGCGGACUUCUGGUGGAACUCUUUAGAGCACAAGCGGAAAAUGCACUGGCUCAGUUGGUCUACGUUGUGUCUGGCAAAAGAACAGGGAGGUUUGGGCUUCAAAGAUAUACAAAGCUUCAAUCAAGCUCUUUUGGCCAAGCAAGCGUGGCGAAUCCUCAAUCACCCUGAAUCUCUCUUCGCAAUAUUUUUCAAGCGCAGGUACUUCGAAAAAUCAGACUUUUUAAAUGCGAAAAAUGGAUCGAGACCUUCGUAUGGAUGGAGAAGCAUACAAUUUGGAAAGGAGCUGUUAAGUCAAGGUUUGAGGAACACUUGGGUAAUGGUACGACUGUCUCAGUGUGGGUGGAUGAUUGGAUAGAAGGAGAUGUGAGAAGGAGACCGCUGAUGAAAAAUAUCUUUGUGGACUUGAUGCUCACAGUUGAUAAGCUGAUUGACCCUCAAAAUAACUGUUGGAGGCUGGAUAAGUUGCAAGAGUUGUUUUAUGAAGAAGAUAUCAACAGAAUCUUGGCGAUGCAAACUGCUUUUGAUCAACAAGAUUAUUGGGUCUGGUUACACAACAGGAAUGGUAGCUAUUCAGUGAAGUCGGGAUAUUGGUGCAUCAAUAGAUUCAACCGAGAAGAGGAAAUCAGAGUAGCAGAGAUGAGACCUUCUUUGAACGAUCUGAAGACCGAAGUUUGGAAAAUACCCACUUUCCCAAAGAUUAAGAACUUCAUUUGGAGAGCAAUUAGUAAUGCAUUUCCUGUUGGUGAACUUUUGGUCAAAAGAGGUAUCAAAAUGGAUCUGGUUUCUCAAGCCUGUGGCUAUCAGGGUGAGUCUAUAAAUCACAUCAUUUUUGGAUGCUCCAUAGCAAGACAGGUUUGGGCAUUGGCCAAUGUUCCUACUCUGCAAUUUGGUUUCGAUGGCGUUUCACACUUCUCCAACUUUCACUGUCUGUUUCUGAUGAUGAAAAACAGAGAGAAAUAGAAAUGAUAUUCCUUGGAUAGUUUGGUACUUGUAGAAAUACAGAAACAGGGUCAUUUUUGAAGGGAAGAAGUACUGUCCUAUGGAGCUGGGGGAGAAAAUUAUGGAGGAGUCACAUUUCUGGGUUUUGGCUCAAAGUAAUGAGAAUAGAAGGAAGGCUGAAGAACAGGAGGCAGAGAUGGAAGUUGUGAAAGAAAUCUUGGUCUGUUCCUCAUCGUGGUUGGCUAAAAUGCAACAUCGGAAUUGCGUGGGACAAGAAGCAAUCUAGUAGUGGAGCUUCAUGGGUGGUAAGGGAUGAUCGCGGGAAGGUCCAAAUGCACAGUACGAGAGCGUUCUCGAACACUGCCUCCCUUCAUGAAGCGAAGUACAAAGGUCUACUCUGGGCUCUGGAAAGCUGUCAUGCGCAUCACCUAAACAGAGUCAUCAUUGCCUUUGAUGAUGCAACUUUGAUCAAUGUGAUCCUAAGACCACAGGCAUGGCCAAACUUCAGAAGUCAGUACGUGCAGAUUUUUGAAAGGUUGAAGAAACUAGAAUGGUGGAGGGUGAUGAAGGAAGAUAGAUCAACUAACACAGGGGCUUUCAUCAUAGCUCAGAGCGUGAUUAAGGGAGGCUAUUAUCAGUCGUAUGUUGCAGAGGGGCCACCCCUUUGGUUGCGCGAUCUUUUUGAGAGUGAGGAAGCUCGGCCCUGUGUGUAGUUGAUCUCUUAUAUCGAAUUUUCUUUAAAAGAAGGAGUUGUUUUUUGGGUAUAGAAGGCAAAGGAACCUCUGUUAACUAGAAGCCUUGUGUGUGAGUUCAUGAUUUUUGGAAGGAAAUGGGAGGUGUAGACUUGUUUGUGGAAGAGUCUUAUUGUAGUUCUUUUGGUUGUACCUUAACUGGAUGUUUGAUCUUUUAUGAUCGUGGAAUGAAAUUCAUAGAUGACAAAAAAAAACAAACCGUUCAAGUUUCAAUCCAAGCCACCUCCUCUCUGGAUCUCACUGAUCUUCUUCUUCCUCACAGAACUCCAACGUCGCUAUCUUCCACGCACACACCGCUUAUGCUACCUCCUCCAGAACGCCCUCCUCAUCCGUGUCGUCAUGCUCUCUCAGCCAUAUCUCCGGUGCUCUGCUACUGUUCUCCUCCAUAUUCUAUCUCUGUCAAUCGUCAAACCAUGGGAAAGAUUCAAGCAAAAUGGAAAAAAAAACAUGAAUCAAAUAAAAGACGAGAUAUUUAGUUAAAAUUUAAACCGUAGUGAAGCAAGAGGUGAUAUAUCUUUAAGACCUUAGCAAUCUCUGGAUGUGAUGCAUUUUUCUCAGUCAUCUUAACUUCCAUUGUUUCAUCCAUCUAAAUCCAUCCAUUAUCCCUUGCAAGAAGAACUCAGCUUCUUUGCUAAAGCUUGGAACUUGGGUGAUUUCAUGAACUUUUGAUAGCUUAGGAAGCCAAUUAAUCUAGCAAAACAAGAACAUGGGCGAAUUAGGACGAAACUACGUUCUACUGAACAACAAGGACAAAAUAAGAACACAAAAUCACCUUCUAUUUAACAACAAAAAUCAAAUUAAAAACACAGAGAAAGAGUGAAAGACAGAGAGUGCGAGAGAGAGAAAGAGAGGUCACCGGUGGUGGUGGCGAUGAGCGGUGGUUUUGGUGAUUCCGGUGAAGACAAAGACCGGCGAAGACGUAUGUGAGAAGCGGCAGAGAAACUCAUCAGGCGCAGAGCUUCAUCUCGGCCCAAUCAAAACGGCUCGUCUCUGGGCUUCGUCGUCAGGCAGAUGAACUUCGCGAGAGACGGAAGUUGACGUUGCUCUAGCUUUGUCGUCAGGUGCAGGAGGAGGCAUAGGUUGGUGUUAGAUACGAUGUGUGACACCCCGACCCAGCAUAGCUGUAAUGCUCGGCGAUAUCAUGACACUUGUCUCCAGCCACAAGGCCAAAACAAUGUGUCUUUAGGAUCCCAAGACGUCUUUGACAAAAACCUACCAAUAUGAGCCGAACCUGAAAUGAAAAGGGAAAAGGAGGGGUGAGUAUUUCGACAAAAUCUCAGUGAGAGAAGCUUUAGGAGCCUUAAAAUCAAUCACCAACAAUCAUCACACAACAUAGCUUAAGCAUCUAACUUAAACAUUCAAAAAAUCGAAAGCAAUCAACAAGAAACGAGGAUAAACCCCGACGGUGCCAACAUGAGACUAACGCCACAUCACGCUGUCUCCACGCCUCCCAUGUUGUCUUGUGAGAACUCGCCACAUCACUCUGUCUCCGUGAGUUCCACACCUUCACGCGAUCACGCCACAUCACGCUGUCUCCACGUGAUCCGCGCCACCACAUUCACACGGUCACGCCACAUCACGCUGUCUCCACGUGAUCCGUGUUACUACAUUUUUACUUCACAUACAAGCACGCCGCAUGCCCGCUCCGGCGAUGAAUCAUGCCAACUCAAACGAUUGCCACAUGACCCAACAAGAAACGAUGUAACGCCCGAGACAUACAUAUAUGUCAUUCCACCACGUUACACCGGCACACAUAGGCCUUAAGCCUUUCUCUAACUCAUUUACAUCUCCCAAUUAUAUAGAUAUCAUCUUCUUAUACAAUAACCCCAAUCAAUACAAUCAUCACAUUCAAUCCUCAAACAUCAUUUAACCAUAUUUUAACAACCUUAGCAAUAGAUCUACGUUUUUCACACAUCAACCAUCAAGAUAUUUAUAUAUAUCAUAUGUAUAGUUAUUUAUAUUAGUAGAUCUAUAGAAAGUAACAAGUAUGGAUGAAUGAUCAACUUAGACACUUCUACCAUGAUGAGAUAAUGAUAGAAGGACAUAGAGAUUGCAACAAGCCUUCACCUUGGCCUUAGAUAUGUGAAUGGAAAGGAGAGAAGAAACAGAUCUGGAGCUUAGGGAUUUCCACGAACUAGAUCUAUAAUAAAAAUGUUUGGUGCUACCACCAAAGAAUCCGGGAUGAGAGAUCCAAGAUAAAAGAGAUCAAAGAGCUGGAGAAAAUGAGAACUAGGGUUCCUUACCUCAACAAUGACCAGAUCUAGAAAGAAGACAGAGAGAGAUCUGGACAUAGAAUUGGAUCGGUUCAUCGGGGAUCUCCAAGGCUUAGCUCCAGUCUUCAGCAAAUGGCGAACACCAAGGAGAAAGAGAGAGACAGAGAGAUGCAGGCGAGAGAGAAGAGAAAAGAGAAACUUUGACGGCUAGGGUUUUCAGAGCUCUCUGAAACUCGGCAGGGCUUCGCUCUGAUUUCUAAAUGGGAGAGAAGAGAAGAAGGAGGCUCUUUUUUAUAGGAAACGAAGAGAAAACCCUAGGGUUUACUACACGGGCCAGAAAAGAAAGACAAAAACUAAUGGGCUUUGGUCCAAAUCAAGUUAAUAAUUAAGAAAAACAAAACUAUUCCGGUUUGGGAGAACUGGAAUGUGACAAUUCUACCCCACUUAACUGGGAAUUCGCCCCGAAUUCCGAACGGAGCAAGGGGAAAACUCAACCAGUAAGUUAGAGAUUAGAAACUUAUUCAAUGCAUAUUGAUUUGAGUCAAGACUGACCCUCUAGGUUAGGACUAGAGAGUCUUUCCUGGCCUCUGAUACCACUUGUGACACCCCGACCCAGCAUAGCUGAAAUGGUCGGCGAUAUCAUGACACUUGUCUUCAGCCACAAGGCCUAAACAAUGUGUCUUUAGGAUCCCAGGACGUCUUUGACAAAAACCCACCAAUAUGAGCCGAACCUGAAAUGAAAAGGGAAGGAGGGGUGAGCAUUUCGACAAAAGCCCAGUGAGGGAAGCUCUAGGAGCCCCGAAAUCAAUCACCAGACAAUCAUCACACAACAUAGCAUAAGCAUCUAACUUUAACAUUCAGUAAAUCAAAAGCAAUCAACAAGAAACAAGGAUAACCCCCGACGGUGCCAACAUGAGACUAACGCCACAUCACGCUGUCUCCACACUUCUCAUGUUGUCGUGUGAGAACUCGCCACAUCACACUGUCUCCGUGAGUUCCACACCUUCACGCGAUCACGCCACAUUACGCUGUCUUCACGUGAUCCGCGCCACCACAUUCACACGAUCACGCCACAUCACGCUGUCUCCACGUGAUCUGUGUUACUACGUUUUUACUUCACAUACAGGCGCGCCGCAUGCCCGCUCCGGCGAUGAAUCAUGCCAACUCAAGCGAUUGCCACAUGACCCAACAAGAAACGAUGUAACGCCCGAGACAUACAUAUAUGUCAUUCCACCACGUUACACCGGCACACAUAGGCCUUAAGCCUUUCUCUAACUCAUUUAUAUCUCCCAGUUAUAUAGAUAUCAUCCUCUUAUACAAUAACCCCAAUUAAUACAAUCAUCACAUUCAAUUUUUAAACAUCAUUCAACCAUAUUUUAAUAACCUUAGCAAUAAAUCUAUGUUUUUCACACAUCAAGCAUCAAGAUAUUUAUAUUUAUCAUAUGUAUAGUUAUUUAUAUUAGUAGAUCUAUAGAAAGUAACAAGUAAGGAUGAAUGAUCAACCUAGACACUUCUACCAUGAUGAGAUAAUGAUAGUAGGAGAUAGAGACUGCAACAAGCCCUCACCUUGGUCUUAGAUCUGAGAAUGGAAAAGAGAGUAGAACCAGAUCUGAAGCUUAGGGCUUUCCACGAACCAGAUUUAUAAUAAAAAGGUUGGGUCCUACCACCAAAGAAUCUGGGAUGAGAGAUCCAAGAUAAAAGAGAACAAAGAGCUGGAGAAAAUGAGAACUAGGGUUCCUUACCUCACCAGUGACCAGAUCUAAAAAGAAGACAGGGAGAGAUCUGGACAUAGAAUUGGAUCGGUUCAUCGGGGAUCUCGGGGAUCUCCAAAGCUUAGCUCCAGUCUUCAGCAAACGGCGAACACCAAAGAGAGAGAGAAACUGAGAGACGCAGGCGAGAGAGAAGAUAAAAGAGAGACUUUGACGGCUAGGGUUUUCAGAUCUCUCUGGAACUCGGCAGGGCUUCGCUCUAAUUUUUAAAUUGGAGAGAAGAGAAGGAGGAGACUCCUUUUAUAGGAAAAAAAGAGAAAAUCAUAGGAUUUACUACACCGGUCAGAAAAGAAAGACAAAAACUAAUGGGUUUUGGUCCAAAUCAAGUUAAUAAUUAAAAAAAAAAACAAAACUAUUCCGGUUUGGGAGAACCGGGAUGUGACAGUCUCCAAGAGCUUUGCCGGUGAGUUCGUCGUUGAUGGAGGUGGUCUCAUCGUCAACCUAUUUGCAGGCUGGCCUAGAAAAGGGAGAUAACUGUGUUAUGGUCUGUUUGUGUUGGAAAGUGACAAUGAUUCUCUCGGUCAGUUUCUACCGGGUUGAGAAAGGUGGGAAGAUGCUCUGGGAGGUGUCAUAGCUGUUGCAGAUGGGUUUUUUUUUUUCUGAUUACGUUUUGGACACAAGUGAGAUAUGAUCAUGGUUUCCUAAUUGACAAAGCUCAUACCGCAACUAGCUACUUCCAGAGGUUCUGCAACAAUGUGAGAUUUUGAAUUAUAAUCCUCAUUGCUAUUCUCUUCUAAGGUUGUUUAGCCAUGUUUUGAUAGCUUGUGGGGGUUGUUGGUGAAGCAGUAUAGUAGCCAUGCUUGAGGAAGUUUGUUCUGAAAAUAGGCAAUGUUGGAGACUGUGGACUACUUAAGCUUCUUAGACGAGGCCAGAUCAUAUUUUCAACUACUCCACAAGAGCAUUACUUUGACUGUCCUAUACACCUUAUGUUACCUCUCCAUGGUGGUGGUGGUGGUAGCAACAUGACAAAGAAGAUCUUUGUAGGUAAUUAGAGAGGCGGAGUUCAAGAAUUGCUUUGAUCAGUUUGGUACAAUUUGCUGAUGUUGUCUUAGUAUGAUCACAGCACACAGAGGCCGAGAGGGUUUGGCUUCAUUACUUUUUAUUUUGAUGAUUCGGUUGAUAGGGCUGUUGGUGUGUGUGUGAGCUUUUUUUGUAUACUGAACUUGAGCUGUGUGAAGUUAAUACUGAAUAUUACGACAAAUAGCGAAAAUUAUAAAGACAACUAGUUCAUAUUAGUUAUUGUUUUACUAGGUGUCUUCCUCCGGUAAAAAAAUUUAAAAUAUUUUUUAACAGAUAAAUGUAAAUUAUAUUUUAAAAUAAAAUUUUAUUCAUAUUGUAAAUUUUUUUUUCUGUAUCAAUAUUUAAU
Long non-coding RNA from Brassica napus (rape), 8566 nucleotides. RefSeq lists it as uncharacterized. The record is from RefSeq and is a predicted model, not a curated record. NCBI's taxonomy places the organism in Eukaryota, Viridiplantae, Streptophyta, Magnoliopsida, Brassicales, Brassicaceae. The transcript has 3 exons.